GCUCACAUAGCUAAGCGGUUAAGGCACUGCACUUGUAAUGCAGAGAUCUCCGGUUCAAUUCCGGAUGUGAGCU
Molecule: non-coding RNA, 73 nt
Organism: Tribonema minus
Lineage: Eukaryota; Xanthophyceae; Tribonematales; Tribonemataceae
Source: the annotation of a GenBank genome assembly